RNAcentral lists this ribosomal RNA (260 nucleotides) under Ocellularia allosporoides. RNAcentral describes it as "partial small subunit ribosomal RNA". It matches the Rfam family "Bacterial small subunit ribosomal RNA", at positions 406 to 686 of the family's 1533-position model. Lineage: Eukaryota; Fungi; Ascomycota; Lecanoromycetes; Ostropales; Graphidaceae. The record is from RNAcentral.
UGAUGUACCUAAUAAUAUUAGAAAUCAGUAUGAAAUUAACUAAGUUAAUUAAAGUUCUAAGUGGGUGUUUGAUUAUGACAACACCUAUAUAAGUCUUGACCAAGUCACGUGCCAGCAGUCGCGGUAAUACGUGGAAGACAAGUGUUAUUCAUCUUUAUUGGGUUUAAAGGGUACCUAGACAGUUAAUUAAGCAAUAAACUGUACUAAUUAACUAGAGUUUAAUGUAAGAAGGGUUGAGUACGGUGAGAGUAGAGAUAAAA